AGUGAACACUGGCGGUAGGCCUAACACAUGCAAGUCGAACGGCAGCACAGUAAGAGCUUGCUCUUACGGGUGGCGAGUGCGGACGGGUGAGGAAUACAUCGGAAUCUACUUUUUCGUGGGGGAUAACGUAGGGAAACUUACGCUAAUACCGCAUACGACCUACGGGUGAAAGCAGGGGAUCUUCGGACCUUGCGCGAUUGAAUGAGCCGAUGUCGGAUUAGCUAGUUGGCGGGGUAAAGGCCCACCAAGGCGACGAUCCGUAGCUGGUCUGAGAGGAUGAUCAGCCACACUGGAACUGAGACACGGUCCAGACUCCUACGGGAGGCAGCAGUGGGGAAUAUUGGACAAUGGGCGCAAGCCUGAUCCAGCCAUACCGCGUGGGUGAAGAAGGCCUUCGGGUUGUAAAGCCCUUUUGUUGGGAAAGAAAAGCAGCAGGUUAAUACCCCGCUGUUCUGACGGUACCCAAAGAAUAAGCACCGGCUAACUUCGUG
Molecule: ribosomal RNA, 491 nt
Filed under: uncultured bacterium
Lineage: Bacteria
Description: partial 16S ribosomal RNA
Rfam family: Bacterial small subunit ribosomal RNA
Source: RNAcentral